RNAcentral lists this ribosomal RNA (418 nucleotides) under uncultured eukaryote. RNAcentral's name for it is "SSU rRNA". It matches the Rfam family "Eukaryotic small subunit ribosomal RNA", at positions 592 to 1016 of the family's 1831-position model. The record is from RNAcentral.
CAAUAGCGUAUAUUAAAGUUGUUGCAGUUAAAAGCUCGUAGUUGGAUUUCUGCCGAGGACGACCGGUCCGCCUCUGGGUGAGUAUCUGGCUUGGCCUGGGCAUCUUCUUGGAGAACGUAGCUGCACUUGACUGUGUGGUGCGGUAUCCAGGACUUUUACUUUUGAGGAAAUUAGAGUGUUUCAAGCAGGCAUGCGCCUUGAAUACAUUAGCAUGGAAUAAUAUUAUAGGAUUUCGGUUCUAUUUUGUUGGUUUCUAGAGCUGAAAUAAUGAUUAAUAGGGACAAUUGGGGCAUUCGUAUUGACGAGUCAGAGGUGAAAUUCUUGGAUUUGUUAAAGACGGACUACUGCGAAAGCAUUUGCCAAGGAUGUUUUCAUUGAUCAAGAACGAAAGUUAGGGGAUCGAAGACGAUUAGAUACC